AGCUAACGCUUUAAGCAUUCCGCCUGGGGAGUACGGUCGCAAGAUUAAAACUCAAAGGAAUUGACGGAAACUCAAAGGAAUUGACGGACACUCGAGAUGGAAUCGAUCGGACACACAUUAGAAUUGAUGGAAAGCGUGUAGACGUGGGGAGUAACUCAGAUGUGAAAACCUUCCGCUCAACGGAAGAAGUGCAUUUGAAACUGCUUGGCUAGAGUACGGGAGAGGAGAGUGGAAUUCCCGGUGUAGAGGUGAAAUUCGUAGAUAUCGGGAGGAACACCAGUGGCGAAGGCGGCUCUCUGGUCCGAUACUGACGCUGAGACGCGAAAGCGUGGGGAGCAAACAGGAUUAGAUACCCUGGUAGUCCACGCCGUAAACGAUGGGCACUAGGUGUAGGAGGUAUUGACCCCUUCUGUGCCGAAGCUAACGCAUUAAGUGCCCCGCCUGGGGAGUACGGCCGCAAGGUUAAAACUCAAA
This 474-nucleotide ribosomal RNA is filed under the name uncultured prokaryote. RNAcentral describes it as "bacterial SSU rRNA". The stretch from base 77 to 474 matches the Rfam family "Bacterial small subunit ribosomal RNA", at positions 1 to 905 of the family's 1533-position model. The record is from RNAcentral.